Long non-coding RNA from Hypanus sabinus (Atlantic stingray), 2333 nucleotides. RefSeq lists it as uncharacterized. NCBI's taxonomy places the organism in Eukaryota, Metazoa, Chordata, Chondrichthyes, Myliobatiformes, Dasyatidae. The transcript has 3 exons. The record is from RefSeq and is a predicted model, not a curated record.
GAUUAACAGCUGAUCUUUGAUUACAGGAUAGCAACAACAUGGAGUGGUGCCAAAGUUUCAGAGUAGUUCUACUGCUUGGCAUCUGAAGCAGAUUGAGCAAGAUAUCCCAUUGCCCUCGUUAUAAUGCGGAAGGAACGUACUUUGACACAUAUUAUCAGUCCUGACAGUCUAUACAGGCUAAGUGCCUGCAACAAUUCUGUUGGUUUGUAGAGGUGGCUGAAAAAGCAUAUGCAGGCAGGUAUUCGUUAGAGAACACUUAAGCAAAUUUUCCACUCUUCAGGAAUGGAAUAGCAUCUUUGCCCAGGAACUGGCAGAUUUUGAAGCCCGGAGACACACUGCACCUGGUAGUAUGAUACUCGCAGGUACACAGACUUAAUGGGUCCGGUGGCUAAAAAUCAGUUACACCUGUUUUGGAAAGGCUCCAAAGCACUCCAACUCCGCAUCUUGCCACUGAUCUUGCCAGAUAAGAAAUGGGAUGCCCAGGAUGGAGGGAUAAAAGAUGCAGGCACAGAAGAGGAGCAUCCUACUGUUGUUGAUACACUGAAUAUGUUGGACAUUGCGGGAAGCAGAUAGUUGAGGCUGAGGAAUAACCCCAGUUGUACAGGAACAAACCUGGUACUGUAACAAAUCAUCAUGUUCGGUUUAAUGCAAAUCUCAUGGUAACUAGAAUUUGAAAAUACCUUUAAUUGACUUUUGUUUGCAUUCUUAAAUGGAAGUUUUCCUACAUCUGAUGCUUGCAAUCAUUUACUCUAUUUCAUUCUACCACAGUUAACUUGUUCUGUAUUAUCACACCCUCGUUGUAACAAACUUUUCACACAGCAUCAAGUACCUUCAUUACUUCCACAGUAGAGUCCCCUUCCAAAAUUAAAAUGACUAAAAUUCAGUUCAGAAAUAAAAACCUUUCACAGUAUUGUACAAGAGAUAAUAUAAGGUUUAAAUAAAUCCUGCAAUAAACACAAUAAAAACCAUUUAAUAUUUAAAGGUUUCUAAUAAAUCAAUAGGCAAAUGGUAGUGUAGUGACUUCGAGGGGAGUGGUCCAGGGUUCAAAUCCGGCCGGAUCCUUGCACAUUUUCCAGCCAUGUGGGUUAAGGGGUUAAACGUUGAGCUAGCAGCUCAGUCUCAAAAAGGAACAGACAAAAAUGCUAGAGAACAGCAAGGUUGACACUCAACGUGCCACAAGGUGCGGAAAGGAACAACAAUCAAACAAAUUAAAACCAACAUCCUGUGUUUCAGCACCUGAGUUACAGGGAAAGAUUGAACAAGUUAGGUCUUUAUUCUUUGGAGUGUAGAAGGUUGAGGGGGGACUUGAAAGAGGUAUUUAAAAUUAUGAGGGAGAUAAAUAGAGUUGACGUGGAUAGGCUUUUUCCACUGAGAGUAGGAGAGAUUCAUACAAGAGGACAUGAGUUGAGAGUUAAGGGGCAAAAGUUUAGGGGUAACACGAGGGGGAAUUUCUUUACUCAGAAAGUGGUAGCUGUGUGGAACGAGGUUCCAGUAGAAAUGGCAGAGGCAAGUUCGAUAUUGUCAUUUAAAGUAAAAUUGGAUAGGUAUAUGGACAGGAAAGGAAUGGAAGUUUAUGGGCUGAGUGCAAGUCGGUGGGACUAGGUGAGUAAGCGUUUGGCACAGACUAGAAGGGCCGAGAUGGCCUGUUUCCGUGCUGUAAUUGUUAUAUGGUUAUAUUUAAAUAUCAUCAUGCCUUCUGAGGCAAAAUUUACUUUGACACUUAAUAAUUUCAUUCCCAAUUGAAGCUUCAUAGAAUAUUUCUCCAGAAGCUUAAACAUUAGCAGUGUGAAUUACAUCUGCGCACUGUUAAUUGAAAUAAUGUGUGAUAGUUGCACAAAUGAUUCAGUGUGCCUCAGUAUAAAGUCACUAACAUUCACCUCCUAUAGCUACAUAACCACAUCUGGGAAUAUUGUAUUGCUUUGCUCUCCUUAAUUAAAGGCUUGGAGCUUUUGGUCUACAGGGGAGAAGAGCGUUAUGAAGAAACUGAUGAGACCAAGAUCAGAACCACACGAUCUUUCUGAAGGAGAGGGCAAGCUAGAGGGGUCAUUCUUAUUACUUUCUGAAGUUACUGCUCAUCAUAUCAAACAGAAAACAUUGUCUAUAUGACACAACUCAUUUCUAGAACAGAUGUUUGCUGUUCUGACCAAACACAUCACAGUCCAAAUUCAUAAUUGUUUAUUUCAAAUAGUAUGCAGAGAAGCAAUUUUCAGCUGUUAAAUGGAACAUAUACUCCACUCAAGCCAAUGCAACAUUCACUCCUACCCUAUCCAGUAACACCAAGGGUGGAACUUAAGAAUGUUUCAUCAACUGAACAAGGUGCAACUAAAAAUGCC